GGGGUUGUGGCUCAGCGGUAGAGCGCUCGCCUAGCAUGUGGAGGCCCUGGGUUCCAUCCUCAGCACCACA
Molecule: transfer RNA, 70 nt
Filed under: Marmota monax (woodchuck)
Lineage: Eukaryota; Metazoa; Chordata; Mammalia; Rodentia; Sciuridae
Description: tRNA.Ala
Source: RNAcentral